GGGGUCGUAGCUCAGUUGGUAGAGCGACGCGUUCGCAAUGCGUAGGUCAGGGGUUCGACUCCCCUCGACUCCACCA
This 76-nucleotide transfer RNA is filed under the name Pseudomonadota bacterium. Its description in RNAcentral is "tRNA-Ala". It matches the Rfam family "tRNA". From Rfam's summary of the family: Transfer RNA (tRNA) molecules are approximately 80 nucleotides in length. Their secondary structure includes four short double-helical elements and three loops (D, anti-codon, and T loops). The record is from RNAcentral. Lineage: Bacteria; Pseudomonadati; Pseudomonadota. RNAcentral also lists the same sequence under 1 other name.